UGGACAUACCAAACUCGUGCUUUAAAAUUCACAAAACAACUUUGAUUGGCAGAAAAAAAAAAAAAUAAAAAAAUAAAAAAAAAAAAAAAAAAAAAAAAAAAAACUUUGAUUGGCAGGUCAAACUACGUUGACCAUUGAGUCGCAAACGCGGCAGUAAAAUUACGUUGAUUAGCAUUUAAAUCACAGCUAAUCCACACGGAUU
RNAcentral lists this long non-coding RNA (202 nucleotides) under Arabidopsis lyrata. Its description in RNAcentral is "long non-coding RNA (ALYR_LNC002987)". Lineage: Eukaryota; Viridiplantae; Streptophyta; Magnoliopsida; Brassicales; Brassicaceae. The record is from RNAcentral.